UACGUAGGGGGCAAGCGUUGUCCGGAAUCAUUGGGCGUAAAGAGCGCGUAGGCGGUCCGGUAAGUCGGUUGUGAAAACUGGGGGCUCAACCCUCAGAGGCCGACCGAUACUGUCGGGCUAGAGUCCGGAAGAGGCGAGUGGAAUUCCUGGUGUAGCGGUGAAAUGCGCAGAUAUCAGGAAGAACACCCGUGGCGAAGGCGGCUCUCUGGGACGGUACUGACGCUGAGACGCGAAAGCGUGGGGAGCGAACAGG
RNAcentral lists this ribosomal RNA (253 nucleotides) under uncultured bacterium. RNAcentral describes it as "partial 16S ribosomal RNA". It matches the Rfam family "Bacterial small subunit ribosomal RNA", at positions 524 to 776 of the family's 1533-position model. The record is from RNAcentral.